Molecule: ribosomal RNA, 207 nt
Filed under: uncultured bacterium
Lineage: Bacteria
Description: partial 16S ribosomal RNA
Rfam family: Bacterial small subunit ribosomal RNA
Source: RNAcentral
CUCGUAGGUGGUUUGUCGCGUUGUCCGUGAAAACUCACAGCUUAACUGUGGGCGUGCGGGCGAUACGGGCAGACUAGAGUACUGCAGGGGAGACUGGAAUUCCUGGUGUAGCGGUGGAAUGCGCAGAUAUCAGGAGGAACACCGGUGGCGAAGGCGGGUCUCUGGGCAGUAACUGACGCUGAGGAGCGAAAGCGUGGGGAGCGAACA